Molecule: long non-coding RNA, 744 nt
Organism: Alosa sapidissima (American shad)
Lineage: Eukaryota; Metazoa; Chordata; Actinopteri; Clupeiformes; Clupeidae
Exons: 2
Source: RefSeq, a predicted model, not a curated record
CAGAGACCAGCAACGUAAAGGUUUUUGCCACAUUAUAAAGCAUUUCUUAUGCGUUAUGGUUUGUAUAUUAUAAUAUUUGUUUAUUUUCAUUUUCAUCACUAUUGAUUGAAUUGACGUUGUUUAUUAUAGCUAUGCUCCUUAAUUAUUAAAGUGUAACUCCGGCGAAAAUUGACCCCAGGGUCUUUUUCUGCAUUAAAACACAUCAAAUAAGCACCAUGGAGACAGUAUUUUCCAUUGAUCAAACCCGGUAUACGCUAUAGCAGGGCUAGACUGGUCAUUUGGCAUACCGGGCAUUGUCCAGGUGGGCUGACGCACUUUUGGGCCGAAUCGGCGAUGUAAUUAUAAUUUAGGAUAUAGGCUAUUAAAGGCCUGUCAGCGGCUCACUGGUUGCCCAUUAUCGCAAGGCUUCGUUGUACUGUCAUGUUUGGUUAAUCUAUUGUUCUAUUGGAGUUGGAGGAGCUGGUAGGGGGACAGUUGAUAAACACCCACCUUUCCUGGUCUGCGAGUAGCCUCUGACCUUGGAGCCAGGCAGCAAUUUGGGGAUGAUGAGGCAAAGUGUACUGUGAGCAGGAGAACUGCAUCUGGCGGAUCUGAGAGAGAAUCUCGUAUUCCUGCAAAGAUGGAGUGUGACAAGCACAGUCAGGCAUAUCUCCAAAGGACAAACAAGACAAGCCACUACACUCAAUUAUAUCAAUUAUUUUGUGAGAUGUACAUGAGAUAUGCAAAAUACACAUUUGAAAAAGA